RNAcentral lists this ribosomal RNA (468 nucleotides) under uncultured bacterium. Its description in RNAcentral is "partial 16S ribosomal RNA". It matches the Rfam family "Bacterial small subunit ribosomal RNA", at positions 28 to 507 of the family's 1533-position model. The record is from RNAcentral.
GACGAACGCUGGCGGCGUGCUUAACACAUGCAAGUCGAACGGAAAGGCCCUGCUUUUGUGGGGUGCUCGAGUGGCGAACGGGUGAGUAACACGUGAGUAACCUGCCCUUGACUUUGGGAUAACUUCAGGAAACUGGGGCUAAUACCGGAUAGGAGCUCCUGCUGCAUGGUGGGGGUUGGAAAGUUUCGGCGGUUGGGGAUGGACUCGCGGCUUAUCAGCUUGUUGGUGGGGUAGUGGCUUACCAAGGGUUUGACGGGUAGCCGGCCUGGGAGGGUGACCGGCCACAUUGGUACUGAGAUACGGCCCAGACUCCUACGGGAGGCAGCAGUGGGGAAUAUUGCGCAAUGGGCGGAAGCCUGAUGCAGCAACGCCGGGUGCGGGAUGCCGGCCUUCGGGUUGUAAACCGCUUUCGCCUGUGACGAAGCGUGAGUGACGGUAAUGGGUAAAGAAGCACCGGCUAACUACGUG